AACCAACGGACAUCCAAGGGAAGUGAGCGGAGUAAUUAUAAAGCUCCUCAUUUUGGAAUCUGUUUAUAUCAACGACGUGUUAGUGUCUUGAAAGGGCUGUCGUCAUCAGAGAAAGUCACAAGUGUUAUUGAGAUUGUCGUGGUCGUGCAGAUGAAAAGUUACCUUUUAAAGAAGAGAAUAAUGUGGUGAGAAGAGAACUGAGUCAAGAGAUGAAUGCUGGAUGAUACCAGCAUUAAGGGAAUGGAUAAAAGAAAGAGGAGCUGUGAAGGAGACUGAAAACAAGCAGUCACAGUUCAAAGAUGGAACCCAAGACAGACUGAUGUCAUGGAAGACAAAGGAGAGAACGUUUCAGAAGGAGGAAGGGCAGGCUUUGGUAUAAAUGUCAUCAGUAAAGAAACUCAAUUUAAAUGAAGAUAGCAUUACCAUUACUCUGAAGUUACCCAGUUAAUAGUAAAAUAAAAUUUAUCCUUUCUGUAAAGAACAUGAAAUCACAAAUCUACGGAGGGAAGUUCUUGGUGAAUGUUCCAUUCCUUUAACACUGUGUGUAAGGUGAUUCUUUUUCUCGCUAAAUUGAAAUGUUUUAUGUUAUAAAAGCAUCAUUCAAAAGGACCAGGAAAAAUGGAGUACUAACAUUUAAAAGCCUAAAGACAGCAGCAUGACCCAAAAACUUCCUGGUCUCUCCACCGUGGACAAUCAGGCCACUGGAAAGGGAGAUGAAACUGAAGGCCUCUGCCCUCUGAGAAGAUGAACAGAACUCACCAGAGCACAAAGAAAAUAAAUAUCUACUCCUGGUUGAAGUCUUUUUUCGACUAGAGUCAUGGCCUUCACAGGGAGACAAUCUAUUGACCACUUCCGGAGCUGUGCUGUGGAAAAAGAAGAGACCAGAAAAAGGAAGCCUUGGGGACAUGUUUUGCAUGAAUUAGCAAAGUCCAAUGAAGGGCGUCUACGUGGUGAAAGAAAUCAGUGGCCAGCCCAGUGUCGCAGCGGUUAAGUGCGCACGUUCCGCUUUGGUGGCCCGGGGUUCACUGGUUCGGAUCCCGGGUGUGGACAUGGCACCGCUUGGCAAGCCAUGCUGUGGCUGGAACAUGUAUAUGGUGGUGACCGAGCUUUGGCCAUGCAGGAGAUGGCAGGAGCAACAUAAAGCCUGGUCCACUCUCAGCUGCAUGCACUGCACCCACCCCAGGUCUUUUGUUCAUAUUCAAGCAGAGGUGCCAAUGAAAACAAACCAGAGAUGUCUGCACAGAGUUCCUGCCCUAAGAAAAGCCCAGGGCAGAAAGGUGAGCAUGUCCAAUGCAAAGAGUCUCAGAGCUCCUAAUGACUCCAGCCCAGAACUGCAGCAGAAGUUGCCAGUGAGACCAUCACUGGGGUGAAGCUGAUGGGGCUCCUGCACACGUCUGUGGAAGAUACAGAGUGGAAUGUACCCCAGGGAGGACUGGGCCGGUAUGGCACAUGGAGUAACGAAGAUCAGCAUCGCUGACCAGAAUCUAUGCCCAUUAUGAGCGAGCAGGGGGAAGGCGGCCUGCAUGCUGCCCAGGGUGGGUGAGAACUGACCUGGUGGGACACAAGGCCACCUGGGCCCAGAAGAAACAGCAGAGACCUAAGUAUUUGGUCCUUUUGUCCCCAAAGAUUGAGGGGCCUCAGGGACAGUUUGGGAGAAAAAUUUAAUGCUGAGCUGGACUCACAGCUCCAUUCUUGGGCACCAUUUUGUUGCCUGUCCUGACUUAGCCAAAUGGACAUUUAACACUUGUCAAAAAUAUCCCUUCAGAACACUCACUCUGAGUUGCCUGCUAAUUCCAUGAAGUCAUUUGUGGUUCUUCCAUGAUAAUCUAUAGGGGGAAACUGUGUAAUUGCUAAAAAUAAUGAAUGUAAAUCAACACACAAUAAGUGGUUCUUUAUAAAUACCUAUUUGCGCAGGUUGUUUACCUGCUGAAACAGCUCCAUCUCAAAAGAAUAAUAUACCAUUUAAAAAUUAGGUCAAGUUGGGGCUGGCCCUGUGGCCUGGUGGUUAAGUUCAGCAUGCUCCGCUUUGGUGGCCCAGGUUCAGUUCCCAGGUGCAGACCUACACCACUCAUCGGUGGCCAUGCUGUGGCAGUGACACACAUACAAAAUAGAGGAAGAUUGGCACAGAUGUUAGCUCAGGGCUAAUCUUCCUCAGGAGGAAAAAAAAGCUGGGUUAAGGGAAAGGACAAAAUAACUCAGGGUUUGACAAACUUUCUGUAAAGGGUGAGAUAGUAAAUAUUUUCAGAUUUGCAGGCCACACGGUCUCAGUAAAUGAGACAAAAGGUUCCCAGAAGGCUUAGGUAAUUCUGUGAGUUGACUGUGAGACAAAAAUAUGCCCUCUGUCGAUUAUAAAAAAUAUCUCACAAUGUUCCAGAAAAGGUGAUUUUACUUCCCUUCGUUCACAAAAUUAUUUGUGAAUUAAAUGCUAGUGAAAACGGAGACUACAGGGCACGUCAAAGAGCCAUGGAGAAUCGUGCCUUGAUGUGGUUUGUCCACUUCCCUCAACCACUGCUCUAGCUGUUGUAGGGAGUUAUUUCUAACUUCUCUAUGAGACCCUC
Molecule: long non-coding RNA, 2558 nt
Filed under: Equus caballus (horse)
Lineage: Eukaryota; Metazoa; Chordata; Mammalia; Perissodactyla; Equidae
Description: lncRNA (ENSECAG00000051444.1)
Source: RNAcentral